AUGGCUCCCACAAAGAAGGGUGGUGAGAAGAAAAAGGGCCGUUCUGCCAUCCACAAGGUGGUGACCUGAGAAUACACCAUCAGUAUGCACAAGCGCAUCCAUGGAGUGGGCUUCAAGAAGCGUGCCCCUCGGACACUCAAAGAGAUUCAGAAAUUUGCCAUGAAGGAGAUGGGAACUCCAGAUGUGCGCACUGAUACCAGGCUCAACAAAGCUGUCUGGGCCAAAGGAAUAAGGAAUGUCCCAUAACGAAUCCAUGUGCGGUUGUCCAGAAUACGUAAUGGGGAUGAAGAUUCACCAAAUAAACUCUAUACUUUGGUUAUCUAUGUAUCUGUUACCACUUUCAAAAAUCUACAGACAGUCAAUGUGGAUGAGAACU
Molecule: long non-coding RNA, 376 nt
Filed under: Homo sapiens (human)
Lineage: Eukaryota; Metazoa; Chordata; Mammalia; Primates; Hominidae
Description: non-protein coding lnc-ZNF568-3:2
Source: RNAcentral